GUGCGUGUAGCUCAGCUGGAUAGAGCGUCUGGCUACGGACCAGAAGGUCGAGGGUUCGAAUCCUUUCACGCACG
Molecule: transfer RNA, 74 nt
Organism: Firmicutes bacterium CAG:194
Lineage: Bacteria; Bacillati; Bacillota
Rfam family: tRNA
About the family: Transfer RNA (tRNA) molecules are approximately 80 nucleotides in length. Their secondary structure includes four short double-helical elements and three loops (D, anti-codon, and T loops).
Source: Rfam